Molecule: ribosomal RNA, 253 nt
Filed under: uncultured bacterium
Lineage: Bacteria
Description: partial 16S ribosomal RNA
Rfam family: Bacterial small subunit ribosomal RNA
Source: RNAcentral
UACGUAGGUGGCAAGCGUUGUCCGGAUUUAUUGGGUUUAAAGGGUGCGUAGGCGGCCUUAUAAGUCAGUGCUGAAAUAUCCCGGCUUAACCGGGAGGGUGGCAUUGAUACUGUAGGGCUUGAGUGUAGUCGAGGUAGGCGGAAUUGACGGUGUAGCGGUGAAAUGCUUAGAUAUCGUCAAGAACACCGAUAGCGAAGGCAGCUUACUGGGCUGUAACUGACGCUGAUGCACGAAAGUGUGGGGAUCAAACAGG